Molecule: ribosomal RNA, 484 nt
Filed under: uncultured bacterium
Lineage: Bacteria
Description: partial 16S ribosomal RNA
Rfam family: Bacterial small subunit ribosomal RNA
Source: RNAcentral
AGUGAACGCUGGCGGCAGGCCUAACACAUGCAAGUCGAGCGGCAGCGCGGGGGCAACCCUGGCGGCGAGCGGCGGACGGGUGAGGAAUUCGUCGGAAUCUGCCUUUAUGUGGGGGAUAACGUAGGGAAACUUACGCUAAUACCGCAUACGUCCUACGGGAGAAAGUGGGGGACCGCAAGGCCUCACGCAGAAAGAUGAGCCGACGACCGAUUAGCUAGUUGGUGGGGUAAAGGCCCACCAAGGCGACGAUCGGUAGCUGGUCUGAGAGGAUGAUCAGCCACACUGGGACUGAGACACGGCCCAGACUCCUACGGGAGGCAGCAGUGGGGAAUAUUGGACAAUGGGCGCAAGCCUGAUCCAGCCAUGCCGCGUGUGUGAAGAAGGCCUUCGGGUUGUAAAGCACUUUUGUCCGGAAAGAAAUCCCUGGAGCUAAUACCUUCGGGGGAUGACGGUACCGGAAGAAUAAGCACCGGCUAACUUCGUG